Molecule: long non-coding RNA, 2975 nt
Filed under: Salmo salar (Atlantic salmon)
Lineage: Eukaryota; Metazoa; Chordata; Actinopteri; Salmoniformes; Salmonidae
Description: lncRNA (ENSSSAG00000098603.1)
Source: RNAcentral
CUAGACAUCCCUUCUGGGUUGACUGGUUCAGACCUUCUCCAGAGACCUAGACAUCCCCUCUGGGUUGACUGGUUCAGACCUUCCCCAGAGACCUAGACAUCCCUUCUGGGUUGACUGGUUCAGACCUUCUCCAGAGACCUAGACAUCCCCUCUGGGUUGACUGGUUCAGACCUUCCCCAGAGACCAAGACAUCCCUUCUGGGUUGACUGGUUCAGACCUUCUCCAGAGACCUAGACAUCCCCUCUGGGUUGACUGGUUCAGACCUUCCCCAGAGACCAAGACAUCCCUUCUGGAGAUGUGGGUUCCUGAAAAUUGGAAGUAGAUAGCAUUAUGGAACAGUAGCAUGCUAGGAGUGAACUGGGAAGGGGUUGUCUGGCUCAGUUCUUCCCUUAUAGACCCAGAUAUCCCCUCUGGGUUGCCUGGCUCAGGUCUUCCCUUAUAGACCCAGAUAUCCCCUCUGGGGUCAGUGUGUAGGAGUUGGUACAAGGUGCCCUGAACCACUCGUCUAGGGUUAGACUUCAUUUAAAUGGAUUAUAUUCGUAAUGAGAAGAAGAAAACUGAUUAUAUUCUAUAGAGAGUGACGACCAGGCCAUUUUGGACACCUUCCUUGACACUCUACCUAUCCUAUCUUCUUUCCUUGACACUCUACCUAUCCUAUCUUCUUUCCUUGACACUCUACCUAUCCUAUUUUCAUUCCUUUACACUUUACCUAUCCUAUCUUCUUUCCUUUACACUUUACCUAUCCUAUCUUCUUUCCUUUACACUCUACCUAUCCUAUUUCCAUUCCUUGACACUCUACCUAUCCUAUUUUCUUUCAGAGACUUUCAAAUUGAUUAUUUGUACUGUUAGAACAUUAGACAAAGCUCAUUACCUUGAUGUCUUUCAGUUUGUUAGUGUGUUGUUGUAUUCUAACAGAACUAAUAUAAUGUGAUUAAUGUAACUACAGUUUCCUUUGAUUCUCUCCUCUUAAAUGUAAUUUAUAUUCGACAACAAGGGGCCUAUUGAAACCAUCGACGGCACUAGAUCAGGGAUGGGCAACUGUUAUUUUAUAAUCUAGUUUUUUGUGAACUCCUUUGGGGUCUCGACUUCCUGUUGAGAGUCCGAAUAGUAGGAUACACAAUUGGCUAUUUAGUAAUGUGGUUGUUGCAUCACCAGUGUAUGUCUUAUGUCACUGACAGUCAGUCAAUUAGCCCAAGUCAGCUAACAUUUUGUAGAUUGUUUAAUGAGUUUAACGGCUAGUUAUCUAAACUUUUUAUCAUGGUCGUAUUACGGCCGGGCGGCCCACAUUGAUUUAGUUAGUCAGUCUCACUCAGAUAUCGUAUGAAAAACUGCAAACAUUUCUCUCCACCCUUUGGCAAAAUCUGUAGAAUUGCAGCAUUUUCUCUACACCCCAUGGCAAAUUGUGUAGAAUUGCACCAAAUUAACGCUGGAUGGAUGUGGGUUUGCAUAACUGUGAGCUGCAGUACCUCAUGAUGAGUUCAGACUUUAUGUGGCCCCCACCCUCAUCAAAGUUGCCCAUCCCUGAUCUAGAGGGAUAUUCAUUGUGGAUUACAUUUGUCAUUUAGCAGAUACUCUUAUCCAGAGCAACUUACAGUAGUGAGUGCAUACAUUUUCAUACUGGUCCCCCGUGGGAAUCAAACCUACAACCCUGGCGUUGCAAGCACCAUGCUCGACCAACUGAGCCACACGGGACCAACUGAGCUGCAAGGGAUUACUCACUAACUACUAAUUAAUGUGUACUGUGACUGAGAACGAACAAUAGGCCUGAUGACUCACAGUGGCUGUGUUCCAAUAUCACAGCACUAGAACACUACAUAGAAUGAGCCAAGUCAUGUAUUGGGCACGAUGCUUCUAUCAACCAAGUCAUGUAUUGGGCACGAUGCUUCUAUCAACCAAGUCAUGUAUUGGGCACGAUGCUUCUAUCAACCAAGUCAUGUAUUGGGCACGAUGUUUCUAUGAACCAAGUCAUGUUUUGGGCACGAUGUUUCUAUGAACCAAGUCAUGUAUUGGGCACGAUGCUUCUAUGAACCAAGUCAUGUAUUGGGCACGAUGUUUCUAUGAACCAAGUCAUGUAUUGGGCACGAUGCUUCUAUGAACCAAGUCAUGUUUUGGGCACGAUGCAUCUUUGAACUAAGUCUUGUAUUGGGCACGAUGCUUCUAUGAACCUGUCAUGUAUUGGGCACGAUGCUUCUAUGAACCAGUCAUGUAUUGGGCACGAUGCUUCUUUGAACCAAGUCAUGUAUUGGGCACGAUACUUCUAUGAACCAGUCAUGUAUUGGGCACGAUGCUUCUAUCAACCAAGUCAUGUAUUGGGCAAGAUGCUUCUAUCAACCAAGUCAUGUAUUGGGCACGAUGCUUCUAUGAACCAAGUCAUGUAUUGGGCACGAUGCUUCUUUGAACCAAGUCAUGUAUUGGGCACGAUGCUUCUAUGAACCAGUCAUGUAUUGGGCACGAUGCUUCUAUGAACCAGUCAUGUAUUGGGCACGAUGCUUCUUUGAACCAAGUCAUGUAUUGGGCACGAUGCUUCUAUGAACCAGUCAUGUAUUGGGCACGAUGCUUCUAUCAACCAAGUCAUGUAUUGGGCACGAUGCUUCUAUCAACCAAGUCAUGUAUUGGGCACGAUGCUUCUAUCAACCAAGUCAUGUAUUGGGCACGAUGCUUCUUUGAACCAAGUCAUGUAUUGGGCACGAUGCUUCUAUGAACCAGUCAUGUAUUGGGCACGAUGCUUCUAUCAACCAAGUCAUGUAUUGGGCACGAUGCUUCUAUCAACCAAGUCAUGUAUUGGGCACGAUGCUUCUAUGAACCAAGUCAUGUAUUGGGCACGAUGCUUCUAUAUACCAAGUCAUGUAUUGGGCACGAAACAGAGGAGGUGAGCUGCUUCUCCCUGGACCUGUCUAAACAGAGGAGGUGAGCUGCUUCUCCCUGGACCUGUCUAAACAGAGGAGGUGAGCUGCUUCUCCCUGGGCCUGUCUAAA